CUGAUGCAGCGACGCCGCGUGAGCGAUGAAGCCCUUCGGGGUGUAAAGCUCUUCGACGGGAACGAUAAUGACGGUACCGAAGAAGAAGCUGCGGCUAACUACGUGCCAGCAGCCGCGGUAAUACGUAGGCAGCAAGCGUUGUUCGGAAUUACUGGGCGUAAAGAGUGUGUAGGCGGUGUUCUAAGUCUGUUGUGAAAUCUCCCGGCUUAACUGGGAGGGUGCGGCGGAAACUGGAAUGCUAGAGGAUGGGAGAGGUAAGCGGAAUUCCUGGUGUAGCGGUGAAAUGCGUAGAUAUCAGGAGGAACACCUGUGGUGUAGACAGCUUACUGGACCAUUUCUGACGCUGAGACACGAAAGCGUGGGUAGCAAACAGGAUUAGAUACCCUGGUAGUCCACACCCUAAACGAUGCAUACUUGGUGUGAGCGAUUCAUUUCGUUCGUGCCGGAGCUAACGCGUUAAGUAUGCCGCCUGGGGAGUACGGUCGCAAGGCUG
RNAcentral lists this ribosomal RNA (493 nucleotides) under uncultured Acidobacteriota bacterium. Its description in RNAcentral is "bacterial SSU rRNA". It matches the Rfam family "Bacterial small subunit ribosomal RNA", at positions 383 to 896 of the family's 1533-position model. Lineage: Bacteria; Pseudomonadati; Acidobacteriota. The record is from RNAcentral.